GAAAGCCCGCAAGGGUGAGUAAAGUGGCGAAAGGGUGAGUAAUAUAUCGACAACCUGCCUCCGAGAUGGGGAUAACCACCCGAAAGGGUGGGUAAUACCCAAUGGUUCUAAGUUGAAGCAUUCGAUUUAGAUAAACGGUGGGGAUCCUUCGGGACCUGCUGCUCGGAGAGGGGUCGAUGUCCUAUCAGCUAGUUGGUGAGGUAAUGGCUCACCAAGGCGAUGACGGGUAGCCGGACUGAGAGGUUGGCCGGUCACACUGGGACUGAGACACUGCCCAGACUCCUACGGGAGGCUGCAGUCGAGAAUUUUCCGCAAUGGGCGAAAGCCUGACGGAGCGACGCCGCGUGCAGGAUGAAGGCCUUCGGGUUGUAAACUGCUGUCACUUGUUAUGAAUGGCCGGGUGUUAAUACCAUUCGGUCUGACAAAGGCGAGAGAGGAAGUCACGGCUAACUUCGUGCCAGCAGCCGCGGUAAGACGAAGGUGGCAAGCGUUGCUCGGAAUUACUGGGCAUAAAGGGCGCGUAGGUGGCCUUGUAAGUCGGUGGUGAAAUCCUGUGGCUUAACCACAGAACUGCUAUCGAUACUGCUUGGCUCGAGGACGGGAGGGGAGAAUGGAACUCCUGGUGUAGCGGUGAAAUGCGUAGAUAUCAGGAGGAACGCCGGUGGCGAAAGCGAUUCUCUGGACUGUUCCUGACACUGAGGCGCGAAAGCUAGGGGAGCAAACAGGAUUAGAUACCCUGGUAGUCCUAGCUGUAAACGAUGGGCACUAGGUUGCGGGUGCUAUUAUGGCACUC
This 793-nucleotide ribosomal RNA is filed under the name uncultured Bacillota bacterium. Its description in RNAcentral is "bacterial SSU rRNA". It matches the Rfam family "Bacterial small subunit ribosomal RNA", at positions 70 to 841 of the family's 1533-position model. The record is from RNAcentral. Lineage: Bacteria; Bacillati; Bacillota.